CUGAGUCUCUGCAGAUUCAAUUUGGCAUCAAAUAACAGCCCAUUCUUCUCUGCCACAUUGGUCAUUUGGAACUGAUGAGGAGACAGAUAGCACUUUAGCUGCACAGAAGAAGAAAGAAGUGCUCUAAGGUGACAUUUUGUUUUGAAAGAAGUCUGGAGAUGCGUUGGCUAACAUGCAAGACAAGCAAACUGCUCUCAGAAGAGACCUCACUUAUGCAAAGAAGGCAGCCAGAGGCAGAUGCCAAAUUCAAAGUGGGACCUUGGCAAAUAUGCAUCUUCUACAGACCUGCAGAAUUAAACCCAGGGCAGGCCUCCCUGUCACACCAGCAGGAGUAGAGCAGGGGCUCCGGGUGAAGAGUUUGAUCCAAGAAGAAGAAAAGAGAACAGGAAUGAUUUAUGCAUGCCCGGUGUACCCUUUCAGUUCAUUUACCGGGUAAAUAUUUUCCCCGAAAAAAGAGGGAUCCGGUAUAGAAAGGCUAGAAACAUCAAGUCAUCAGAGCUCCCCAAGAAUGGAAAAAGGAGUGGAGAGAAAGUGUUACUGCACAUCUUUAUAAGAACUAAAAAUUGGAAUUUUUCAAACUUCUUAAUAAUGUAAUAAGUAACAAAUGGUAUCUAAUUGUUUCAAGUUUCUACUUCUGAUUACUAAUGAAGUUGAACAUUUUCCUCAACAUUUAAAAAUUGGUUGGUGAAUCAUCUGUUCAUAUGUCUUGGAGCUUGAGUAUUUUUCUUAUCUAUUUGUAUGAUUUCUUUAUGUAAUUCAAAUAAUCUUUUAUUGUACUUUCUGUUAAUAUUUUUGGCAAUGUUUUGCCUUUUAAUUUGGGGAUAUAAAAUAAAUUUAUGUAAUCAAAUCUAU
This 852-nucleotide long non-coding RNA is filed under the name Homo sapiens (human). Its description in RNAcentral is "HSALNT0095344". Lineage: Eukaryota; Metazoa; Chordata; Mammalia; Primates; Hominidae. The record is from RNAcentral.